Oncorhynchus tshawytscha (Chinook salmon) is the source of this 663-nucleotide long non-coding RNA. The record is from Ensembl. Lineage: Eukaryota; Metazoa; Chordata; Actinopteri; Salmoniformes; Salmonidae.
GACUCACGGGUUUACUCCUCCUGUGGCAGAGAAUAUUUUAGCGCAGCUUUAGGACCCAGGGAGGCUGGCUGGCUACCCGUUCCGCUGCAGGAGAAGAGAAGAGGCAUGGACAGAGUUGUAUGCGCUGCUGUUCCAUCUCUGAUUUAACUGUUCAAUAGAUAACGGUCUAGGAUUCCCAUCUUCUCGAGGAUUAGGCUUCUCUAAAUAACUGAUUUGAUCCCAGUAUCCGCUCCUUUUGUUUUUACAAGCAGAGAAGAAGUACCGAUAUCCGCUCAACUCGUCCAGUUGGCAGUUAUAGUUUUAAUUUGCUAUUCUAUGGUGUAUGCGCUGCGAGGUAACGUGGGCUACACAGGAAAGUUUCUCACAUUUUCAUAUGAGCAUGGACCUAUUCUUCUUUUGAUUUAGACAAGCACGCAGACCAGUUAAUACCACAGAAAUUGGAAAACUUGAUUGGCCACUAGUGAUGCCAGGACAGUGAGCGCCAUGCGUGUCACAUGGUCAGCUGCCACUCCCUUCAUCAUUGUUGCCCUGCUCAGGCUUGUCCAAUCACAGCUACUGGAGGGAUCUCUGGUUCCAGAUUGAGAAAGAUUAGAGAGAGCAUCAGGAGAAAUCUCAGGGACCUCACAGUAGGAGGAACUGUUGGAGAGGAAAGGCAGACAAAAC